GCUCGCCCGCUGCAACCUUGGGCUUGCGCAGGCUGCCGCCCAGCCGGAGCGAAGGGAGGACGCCGGAUGCCUACGUCGCCGCGGUCGUGCCGUUUCUAGGGUUUGAAAUGCUUUUUUUUUCUGACGUGUGGGUUCGAAAUGUAUGCGACUCUCUGCACUGCAGGGCUGACGAUUUCAGAAUUGAGUUUAAGGACAAACUGGGUCACUGGGCUAUAUCGGAGUGGGCUAGUCCUCAUCUUGAGCUGUAUGCUUGAAUAGUCCGGCAUACCUACAAUUUUUUUAGAUAUUCAAAAAAAUACUUACCCUUUUUUCUUCUAAAAAAAACUUCCAUUUUUUCUCCCUCAAAAAGAAAAACCUUACAUUUUUUUUCUUGAAAGAUCUACUCCCUCUGUAAACUAAUAAGACUCAUUUUAGAUCACUACUUUAGUGACCUAAAGCGUCUUAUAUUAGUUUACAGAGAGAGUACAUAUACUAUUAUUUUUUUGGGCUAAAACAAGGAUAUUUUUGGGGUAUUCUCGCCGCAUUAACUCUAUUUUUUAGAAGGACUAGUAAGCAUGCACGUGCAACGCACGUCUCUGCAAUGACGUGUCGGUGGGACGACUUCAAAAGUGAAGUAUGCAAGGCUUGUUCGAGCAGUAGAUGUCGGGGCGGCGGUCCUGAGAGCUUUGCAAGUUCGACGACAUGGACCUUGUAUUGUGUAGGUUGCAACCACUGCAGGCAUGUGGAAUGAUUCUUUUUUUCGCCGCGGGAGAGUGCCUCAUGACUUCUUCCAGCAAUGAUGGAAAAGCGGCUUGUUCGAUAGAGCGAGUGCCCCAGCUAGUGUGUUUGGUUGGCUUUUGUUGUGGCAUUCGGCACGCUAUCAAGUGUGGGCUCAGUCCUGUGUUUUUACAGUGUUCUAGACUGGGCUUGGCCCUUUUGUUUUGGUUUUCUCACUUUUUUGUGAUUAACUGGACAAUCUUCUCCUUAAUGAAUGAAACGACAAAAGCUUUUUUGCUUCGUGUAUGAAUUGAUUUUUACUCAACUAAAAUUCAAAUAGAUAUAAUAUGUUUUUUAUGUAAAGAAGGCAUGCCAAUCACAAAGGAUAACACUCAUGUCUGCUUUGAAAAUGCACACAACAUAGAAUCAAAUUUAAGAAGGCCGAGAACCUCAAAUCGCUUUGAUCGCUCAUAGGUAGCUCUAUUAUACUGUUUUUUAAUUUGAAUAGGUAAUGUGUCUGCGUUGCCACGGCAGCCAAAAAAUAUAUGAAAUGACAUUUGAUCAAAAGAUUCUUUUGUUUUACAAACACAUACUCUAUAUCACACAAACUGGCGUACGCCUUUUCUUACUCUUGAGUCGCCCAUUCAUGCUUUUAGCGCCACAUUCAAUCCACCAUGCAGACAUUGGCAAUUUGGCAUCAAGCCACCAAUCCACCAAGACAACACGUACAGACUCACCUUCUUUUGGCUAGAAGAUGCUUUGUUCUCGAUGCGCCCUCCUUGCCAUAUUUAUCUUCUAGUGAGCAGAUCAAGGUCUUCUUAUUGAAGAAGCCACAUGUGCUUGUGUGGACCUGCACCAAGAGACAAUGACAGUGAUGAUUAGGCUGGGAACUUGGGAAGACAACGACAUACAAUUGAUGGGAUUGCCGAUUGUGAAGCUUCAGCCCACAGUGGCUGCUCUUUUUCAUAAAAGAGGUGACCAAUAAUUACCUUCCUACUUGGAUCCUCAGAUGUCCUUAGAAGGUGCGAGAGAAAUAAUAGCUGGAGCUAAGAAAGAUAGGAAGACGAUGGCUACCGGAUCAACUCGAAGAUAUGAUGAUAGAGAUGCAUUUGCGAAGCAGAAACUACAUGCAAUCGAAUUUAUGCAAAAAGCAACACUAAGCAGCAGUAGCAUGUUAUCAAGAUUUCUUGUGCUGACACAAGUGUGACUAACACUGUAAGAAGGUUUGGAUAUUCUUUGGUUUAGAUUUCAGAAACUUAAACGGUAUAUAAUUCCAUCACUACUUCAUGAUGCUCUCUAGUCAUUCUUUGACUGUACCUAUCUGUUAUAAAAUGCAAGAACUACGACUCUCUUACAAUGAUUAAGUACAUACCUUGAUACUCCCUGGUUCUCAGCGAAGCCAAUGUCCAAUCUAACAUGAUCAGUGCAUCGCUUUUGGCCUUUUGCAGCAUUAACGUGUGCACGGAACAUGAACAAGCUGGCAUGUGUCUUGCACAAUUCAUCUGACCGUCGUCACAAACAGAGCACAUCUAGCCUGUGUGCUACUUAUCUUGCACUCGCCUGCAAACUUACAUACCCUCACAAACGCAUGCGAUAUUAAUUAGAAACAUAACCUGAUGCUCCAGCUCCAUGACUGUGUAGCACGACCUGAUUAUGACCAUUGUGUAAGGAAGGAUUAGGGACAAUUCUAGUACACAAAUCAAAAGUCCCCAUUUUCUCUUCUUAUCAAAGAGAGGAAACACAAACCAAUCUUCAAUCUAGGAGAACAAUCCCCAAAUUAGCGACAAAAUCGGCGACCCAAUCAGAGGAUCACAACAACGAAGAACGAAAUAACCAAACUGAGAAUAUAUGUAAUCAUGUUGUAGAAAGUACAAUGUACAGAAACAUUGCCAUGCCAACGCUUAAUUCUUCUUUGCAUAUUCCCAAACUAUCUCUUCACGAACAGUAUUAGCAACACCAUAUCAGAGUUGCCAACAUAAACUCUAAAGGUUUUAACUUAGUCCUCACAUGUUCCAACCAUUGUAGUUUCUAAAGAAUAGUGUACUAAUGCUCAAUAAACUAAUAUGUUAGAAAUCAACAAAGAAAAAUCAACUUGUUAAAUAUUAAAGUACAUUCUAGUUUGAACAAUGAAAUUGUUACUGAAUUCGAUUGUUCUAGCAACUCAUAGUUCAAACUCCUAACAUUACUAACCUUAUUCUCCAUGCAUAACCAGCCUUGAUGUAAUGUAUUGGUGAUGUAUGAUCAUCAUUAAUUUUUUUUGGAUUUACCAAACACCACAUUAUAGAACAAAAUAGCUCCCCAUCCGCGUACAAUAUUAUCAACUGUCACAGAAUGGAAAGCAGAAAAAUAUUUGGCACCUGAGAAUGAUGAGGUAGCAACUCAGGAAAUAACAAGGGUGACUUUAGAGCCAUAAGGUAAGCCACAAGCCUUGACGGCUAGUACUAUAUCACAUGGAAAUCAAUACAUUUUGCUGUACUUCCUCAUAAGAUAGACAGACCUCCGAUCAUGCAUCUGGAUUACAUAUGUAAGUAGCAAGAAAACUAAUCCCAUAUCCUAUCCCAUGCUAUGGGAUGUACUGAGUAGUAAUGGAAAUAGAAGGUGUAACAGUAAAUGCAAAUGCAGCAGGAGUUGUAGUAAUGGUGCAGGAUCAAAGGAAAUAAAAAAAAGGCUUCUGUCGGAACGGAAGGAUCAAAUAUCAGAACUAUGUAUAAAUCCCAUUGCGGAAACUACUCUGCAUAGAAGCAUUACCAUUCCAGCACUUAAUUAUCCGAUCACUAAUUCUGCAUUUGAAUCUCUCACAUCAUAGUCUCCCAGAAAAGAAAAGUAAUGGUGACCUCAAACCUUGAGAACUUGAAUAUAGAUAAAAAGGUGUGUGGGGAUACAUUAAUCACUCAAUCAUCAUAUAUAAAAGAGCAUUGGUAUUAAUCUGUAGAAACAUAAAGCCAAAGAAAUCAGCAAGAAAAUCACCUUCAUUGUCCAUAUCCUCGGUGUCCGGAUGAAUAGACUAUGCAGAGCAACCAGGAGCUACCCAUAUCAUUGGUGUACGAAUGAAUAGAUUGUGGAAAGCAACCAAGAACUGACCAUCCUUGGUGUUCGAAUGGAUUCAAAUUUAGAAGAUCCCGGUGCGAGCUUCCGCUAAAACCAAAUGACAGAGGAUGAUGAAGAUGGAGAAUGAAUACACUGGUGAUUCUCAUUGAUGCCCACGAAGGGGUUAAUAUACAGGUACAGAGGCUGGUAACAACCCAGCUAUACAGGAGGUCAUGCACAUCGUGUAACAGAAAAGGAGGGCACGUCCGGUGCAUGAACUACGUGGGACUCGGUCCUCUAGUUGAGCCAGCAACGGUAGUCUUCCAACAGCCCCCCGCAGCCACAACGGGGUCGUCGAGCACGUUGAGGCUGGACCGGAAGUCGAGGAAGACGGUCGAUGGCAGCCCCUUCGUGAAGAUAUCAGCGAACUGCGACGCGGACGGGACGUGAAGGACUCGUACAUCGCCGAAAGCAACCCGCUCACGCACGAAAUGAAGGUCGAUCUCAAUGUGCUUCGUGCGCUGAUGCUGCACGGGGUUGGUGGAGAGGUACAUGGCGCUCACGUUGUCGCAGUAGACGAUCGUUGCCCGAUCCGGAGGACGCCGCAGUUCGUGCAGAAGUUGACGCAGCCAGCACGCCUCGGCCACAGCAUUGGCCACCGCCCUGUAUUCCGCCUCCGCGCUGGACCGGGAGACGGUCUGUUGCCGCUUGGAGGACCAAGAGACGAGAUUGUCGCCGAUGAAGAUGCAGUAGCCCGACGUGGACUUGCGGGUGUCAGGACAACCCGCCCAGUCGGCGUCAGAGUAUGCGACGAGGUGGUGGUCGGAGGAGCGCCGGAGGUGAAGGCCCAGCUGCGGUGUGUCGCGGAUGUAGCGCAAGAUGCGCUUGAGGACGGUGAAGUGCGGCUCCCGGGGAUCAUGCAUGAAGAGGCAGACCUGUUGGACGGCGUAAGUGAUAUCGGGUCGGGUGAGAGUGAGACAUUGGAGGGUGCCGGCCAAACAGCGGUAGAGGGACGGGUCAGAGACAGGAGCACCGUCGGUGGCGGAAAGUUUUGCGCGAGUGUCGAUGGGGGUGGCGAUGGGCUUGCAAUUGCUCAUGGGGGCGCGCUCAAGUAUCUCGAGAGCGUAUUGGUGUUGCGAGAGGAACAAGCCGCGGGAGCUGCGGGUGACAUUGAUCCCCAGGAAAUGAUGGAGCUCGCCGAGGUCAGUCAUGGAAACCUCGUUGUGGAGUUGCGAGAUGACGUGGUGGAGCAGGGAGGCGGAGCUGGCAGUGAGGAUAAUGUCGUCGACGUAUAAUAGGAGAUAAGCGGUGGCGCCGUCGCGGUGAAGAAUGAAGAGGGAGGUGUCACUCUUGGAGGCAACGAAGCCGAGACGCGUGAGGUAGGUGGUGAAGCGCUGAAACCAUGCCCGGGGGGCCUGCUUAAGCCCGUAGAGUGAGCGAUGCAGGCGGCACACGUGAGACGGGUGCGCAGUGUCGACGAACCCGGACGGCUGCUGGCUGUAGACGACGGUGUCGAGGUGGCCGUGAAGAAAAGCAUUCUUCACAUCCAGCUGAUGGAUGGCCCAGCAGGCGGAGACGGCGAGGCUGAGGACGACGCGGAUGGUUGCCGGCUUGACGACAGGGCUGAAGGUCUCCUCGAAGUCGACGCCGUGUUGUUGAGUGAAGCCGCGCAAGACCCACCGGGCCUUGUACCGAGCGAGGGAUCCGUCGGGGUUCAGCUUGUGGCGAAAGAUCCAUUUCCCCGUCACCACGUUGACACCUGCAGGGGGAGAAACCAACGACCAAGUCUCGUUCUGUAACAAAGCAGUAUACUCCUCAAGCAUCGCGUUGUACCAGUUUGGGUCUUUGAGGGCGUGUUUGUAGGAGGAAGGGAGAGGAGAGAUGCGAUCGGUGGUGGCUGUGAGGGUGAAGAGGGAUUUUGGUUGGAGGAAUCCGGCUUUGGAGCGCGUGCGCAUGGGGUGGCUGUUUUUGGGUGGUAGGACGGGCACCGCUCGUGGAGGGAGAGGGUGGGGAGGCAGGGAGGGUGGUGGGGAGGCAGCCAGAGGCGGGGUGAGAGCGAGGGGCGACGUGCAUGGCGAGGACGACUCGGAUUGGCUGCAUGGCGAGCGCGCAGGCGAUUGGCUGCAUGGCGAGCUGGCAGCCGAGGGGUGGGGUCCGGGAUUUGUGGCCGGAGUGGUGGGGGUGAGUGGUGGGCCAGCGGGAGUGGUCGCAGCGGUGGGGGCGCAGCGGUCGGGGUGGUUGGGAGCGACGCGAUUGGGUGCGGGGGGUGGGGCGACUGGGGCGGAGGAUCCCGAGGAGGAUCCUGUUGGAUCGGAUCAGGUAGGUGGGGGGGAUCCCGAGGGAGAUGCGGGGCUGGGGGCAGUGGGAUUUUCUGUGGCGAAGGGAAAAAUGUGCUCGUUGAAAAUCACGUGCCGGGAGGUGAUAACUUUACGUGUGGAUAAUUCGAGGCACCGAUAGCCUUUGUGCUCGAGGGGUAUGCCGAGAAGUGUUGGAAAUAUGCCCUAGAGGCAAUAAUAAAUGGUUAUUAUUAUAUUUCUUUGUUCAUGGUAAUUGUCUAUUGUUCAUGCUAUAAUUGUAUUGUCUGGAAAUCGUAAUACAUGUGUGAAUACAUAGACUACAAUGUGUCCCUAGUAAGCCUCUAGUUGACUAGCUCGUUGAUCAACAGAUAGUCAUGGUUUCCUGACUAUGGGCAUUGGAUGUCAUUGAUAACGGGAUCACAUCAUUAGGAGAAUGAUGUGAUGGACAAGACCCAAUCCUAAGCAUAGCAUAAAAGAUCGUGUAGUUUCGUUUGCUAGAGCUUUUCCAAUGUCAAGUAUCUUUUCCUUAGACCAUGAGAUCGUGCAACUCCCGGAUACCGUAGGAGUGCUUUGGGUGUGCCAAACGUCACAACGUAACUGGGUGACUAUAAAGGUGCACUACGGGUAUCUCCGAAAGUGUCUGUUGGGUUGGCACGGAUCGAGACUGGGAUUUGUCACUCCGUGUGUCGGAGAGGUAUCUCUGGGCCCACUCGGUAAUGCAUCAUCAUAAUGAGCUCAAUGUGACUAAGGCGUUAGUCACGGGAUCAUGCAUUGCGGUACGAGUAAAGAGACUUGCCGGUAACGAGAUUGAAGAAGGUAUUGGGAUACCGACGAUCGAAUCUCGGGCAAGUAACAUACCGAUUGACAAAGGGAAUUGCAUACGGAUUGAUUGAAUCCUCGACACCGUGAUUCAUCCGAUGAGAUCAUCGUGGAACAUGUGGGAGCCAACAUGGGUAUCCAGAUCCCGCUGUUGGUUAUUGACCGGAGAGGCGUCUCGGUCAUGUCUGCAUGUCUCCCGAACCCGUAGGGUCUACACACUUAAGGUUCGGUAACGCUAGGGUUGUAGAGAUAUAUGUAUGCGGAAACCCGAAAGUUGUUCGGAGUCCCGGAUGAGAUCCCGGACGUCACGAGAGGUUCCGGAAUGGUCCGGAGGUGAAGAAUUAUAUAUAGGAAGUCCAGUUUCGGCCACCGGGAAAGUUUCGGGGGUUACCGGUAUUGUACCGGGACCACCGGAAGGGUCCCGGGGGUCCAUCGGGUGGGGCCACCUAUCCCGGAGGGCCCCAUGGGCUGAAAGUGGAAGGGAACCAGCCCUUAGUGGGCUGGGGCGCCCCCCUUGGGCCUCCCCCCAUGCGCCUAGGGUUGGGAACCCUAAGGGGGGGGAGCUUCCCCCUUGCCUUGGGGGGCAAGGCACCCCUUCCCCCCCUUUGGCCGCCGCCCCCCUUGGAGAUCCCAUCUCCCUGGGCCGGCGCCCCCCCCCCAGGGGGCCUAUAUAAAGGGGGGGAGGGAGGGCAGCAACCUACAGCCUUGGGCGCCUCCCUCCUCCCCUGCAACACCUCUCUCUCUCUCGCAGAAGCUUGGCGAAGCCCUGCCGGAGACCCGCUACAUCCACCACCACGCUGUCGUGCUGCUGGAUCUCCAUCAACCUCUCCUUCCCCCUUGCUGGAUCAAGAAGGAGGAGACGUCGCUGCACCGUACGUGUGUUGAACGCGGAGGUGCCGUCCGUUCGGCACUCGGUCAUCGGUGAUUUGGAUCACGGCGAGUACGACUCCGUCAUCCACGUUCAUUGGAACGCUUCCGCUCGCGAUCUACAAGGGUAUGUAGAUGCACUCCUUUCCCCUCGUUGCUAGUAGACUCCAUAGAUGCAUCUUGGUGAGCGUAGGAAAAUUUUAAAUUAUGCUACGAUUCACAAUAGUGGUAUCAGAGCCAGGCCUAUGCGUAGUUACUAUGCACGAGUAGAACACAAAGCAGUUGUGGGCGUUGAGUUUGCCAAUUCUUCUUGCCGCUACUAGUCUUUUCUUGUUUCGGCGGCAUUGUAGGAUGAAGCGGCCCGGACCGACCUUACACGUACACUUACGUGAGACAGGUUCCACCGACUGACAUGCACUAGUUGCAUAAGGUGGCUAGCGGGUGUCUGUCUCUCCUACUUUAGUCGGAACGGAUUCGAUGAAAAGGGUCCUUAUGAAGGGUAAAUAGAAAUUGCCAAAUCACGUUGUGGUCAUACGUAGGUAAGAAACGUUCUUGCUAGAAACCUACAAACCACGUAAAAACUUGCAACAACAAUUAGAAGACGUCUAACUUGUUUUUGCAGCAAGUGCUAUGUGAUGUGAUAUGGCCAGAAGAUGUGAUGAAUGAUAUAUGUGAUAUAUGAGAUUGAUCAUAUUCUUGUAAUAGGAAUCACGACUUGCAUGUCGAUGAGUAUGACAACCGGCAGGAGCCAUAGGAGUUGUCUUUAUUAUUUUGCAUGACCUGCGUGUCAUUGAAUAACGCCAUGUAAAUUACUUUACUUUGUUGCUAAACACGUUAGCCAUAGAAGUAGAAGUAAUCGUUGGCGUGACGACUUCAUGAAGACACAAUGAUGGAGAUCAUGAUGAUGGAGAUCAUGGUGUCAUGCCGGUGACGAAGAUGAUCAUGCUGCCCCAAAGAUGGAGAUCAAAGGAGCAUGAUGAUAUUGGCCAUAUCAUGUCACUAUUUGAUUGCAUGUGAUGUUUAUCAUGUUUUUGCAUCUUAUUUGCUUAGAACGACGGUAGCAAGUAGGAUGAUCCCUUAUAAUAAUUUCAAGAAAGUGUUCACCCUAACUGUGCACCGUUGCGAAGGUUCGUUGUUUCGAAGCACCACGUGAUGAUCGGGUGUGAUAGAUUCUAACGUUCGAAUACAACGGGUGUUGACGAGCCUAGCAUGUACAGACAUGGCCUCGGAACACACGCAAUACACUUAGGUUGACUUGACGAGCCUAGCAUGUACAGACAUGGCCUCGGAACACGGAGGACCGAAAGGUCGAGCAUGAGUCGUAUAGAAGAUACGAUCAACAUGGAGAUGUUCACCGAUCUUGACUAGUCCGUCUCACGUGAUGAUCGGACACGGCCUAGUUAAACUCGGAUCAUGUUUCACUUAGAUGACGAGAGGGAUGUCUAUCUGAGUGGGAGUUCAUUAAAUAAUUUGAUUAGAUGAACUCAAUUAUCAUGAACUUAGUCUAAAAUCUUUACACUAUGUCUUGUAGAUCAAAUGGCCAACGUUGUCCUCAAUUUCAACGCGUCCCUAGAGAAAACCAAGCUGAAAGAUGAUGGCAGCAACUAUACGGACUGGGUCCGGAACCUGAGGCUCAUCCUCAUAGUAGCCAAGAAAGAUUAUGUCUUAGAAGCACCGCUAGGUGAUGCACCAAUCCCACAGAACCAAGACGUUAUGAACGCUUGGCAAUCACGUGCUGAUGAUUACUCCCUCGUUCAGUGCGGCAUGCUUUACAGCUUAGAACCGGGUCUCCAAAAGCGUUUUGAGAAACAUGGAGCAUAUGAGAUGUUCGAGGAGCUGAAACUAGUUUUUCAAGCUCAUGCCCGGGUCGAGAGAUAUGAUGUCUCCGACAAGUUCUUCAGCUGUAAAAUGGAGGAGAACAGUUCUGUUAGUGAGCACAUACUCAGAAUGUCUGGGUUGCACAACCGCGUGUCUCAGCUGGGAGUUAAUCUCCCAGAUGACGCGGUCAUUGACAGAAUCCACCAGUCGCUUCCACCAAGCUAUAAGAGCUUUGUGAUGAACUACAAUAUGCAGGGGAUGGAAAAGACCAUUCCCGAGGUAUAUUCAAUGCUGAAAUCAGCGGAAGGGGAGAUCAGAAAAGAACAUCAAGUGUUGAUGGUGAAUAAAACCACUAAGUUCAAGAAGGGCAAGGGUAAGAAGAACUUCAAGAAGGACGGCAAGGGAGUUGCCGCGCCCGGUAAGCCAGUUACUUGGAAGAAGUCAAAGAAUGGACCCAAGCCCGGGACUGAGUGCUUUUAUUGCAAGGGAAGUGGUCACUGGAAGCGGAACUGCCCCAAAUAUUUAGCGGACAAGAAGAAGGCCGGCAACACCCAAGGUAUAUGUGAUAUACAAGUAAUUGAUGUGUACCUUACCAGUACUCGUAGUAGCUCCUGGGUAUUUGAUACCGGUGCGGUUGCUCAUAUUUGUAACUCAAAGCAGGAACUACGGAAUAAACGGAGACUGGCAAAGGACGAGGUGACGAUGCGCGUCGGGAAUGGUUCCAAGGUCGAUGUGAUCGCCGUCGGCACGCUACCUCUGCAUCUACCCACGGGAUUAGUUUUAAACCUCAAUAAUUGUUAUUUAGUGCCAGCUUUGAGCAUGAACAUUGUAUCUGGAUCUCGUUUAAUUCGAGAUGGCUACUCAUUUAAAUCCGAGAAUAAUGGUUGUUCUAUUUAUUUGAGAGAUAUGUUUUAUGGUCAUGCCCCGCUGGUCAAUGGUUUAUUUUUGAUGAAUCUCGAACGUGAUGUUACACAUGUUCAUAGUGUGAAUACCAAAAGGUGUAAAGUUGAUAACGAUAGUCCCACAUACUUGUGGCACUGCCGCCUUGGUCACAUUGGUGUCAAGCGCAUGAAGAAGCUCCAUCCAGAUGGACUUUUGGAGUCUCUUGAUUACGAAUCAUUUGACACGUGCGAACCAUGCCUCAUGGGUAAGAUGACCAAGACUCAGUUCUCCGGAACAAUGGAGCGAGCAACCAACUUAUUGGAAAUCAUACAUACCGAUGUGUGUGGUCCAAUGAGUGUUGAGGCUCACGGAGGAUAUCGUUAUGUUCUCACUCUCACUGAUGACUUAAGUAGAUAUGGGUAUGUCUACCUAAUGAAACACAAGUCUGAAACCUUUGAAAAGUUCAAGGAAUUUCAGAGUGAAGUUGAGAAUCAACGUGACAGGAGAAUAAAAUUCUUACGAUCAGAUCGUGGGAGAAUAUUUAAGUCACGAGUUUGGUGCACACUUAAGGAAAUGUGGAAUAGUUUCACAACUCACGCCGCCUGGAACACCUCAGAGAAAUGGUGUGUCCGAAUGUCGUAAUCGCACUCUAUUGGAUAUGGUGCGAUCUAUGAUGUCUCUUACCGAUUUACCGCUCUCAUUUUGGGGCUAUGCUUUAGAGACUGCCGCAUUCACUUUAAAUAGGGCUCCGUCAAAAUCCGUUGAGACGACACCGUAUGAAUUAUGGUUUGGGAAGAAACCUAAGCUGUCGUUUCUAAAAGUUUGGGGAUGCGAUGCUUAUGUCAAGAAACUUCAACCUGAAAACCUCGAACCCAAGUCGGAAAAAUGCGUCUUCAUAGGAUACCCUAAGGAAACUAUUGGGUAUACCUUCUACCUCAGAUCCGAAGGCAAGAUCUUCGUUGCCAAGAACGGGUCCUUUCUGGAGAAGGAGUUUCUCUCGAAAGAAUUGAGUGGGAGGAAUGUGGAACUUGAUGAGGUGAUAGUCACCCCUUCCGAACCGGAAAGUAGCGCAGCGCGGGAAAAUGUUCCUGUGGUGCCUACACCGACUGGGGAGGAAGUUAAUGAUGAUGAUCAUGAAGCUUCGGAUCAGGUUACUGAACUUCGUAGGUCCACAAGGACACGUUCCGCACCAGAGUGGUACGGCAACCCUGUCCUGGAAAUCAUGUUGUUAGACAACGGUGAACCUUCGAACUAUGAAGAAGCGAUGGCGGGCCCGGAUUCCGACAAAUGGCUAGAAGCCAUGAAAUCCGAGAUAGAAUCCAUGUAUGAAAACAAAGUGUGGACUUUGACUGACUUGCCCGAUGAGCGGCGAGCCAUAGAAAACAAAUGGAUCUUUAAGAAGAAGACGGACGCAGAUGGUAAUGUGACCAUCUACAAAGCUCGACUUGUCGCUAAGGGUUAUCGACAAGUUCAAGGGGUUGACUACGAUGAGACUUUCUCACCCGUAGCGAAGCUGAAGUCCGUCCGAAUCAUGUUAGCAAUUGUCGCAUACUAUGAUUAUGAGAUAUGGCAGAUGGACGUCAAAACGGCAUUCCUUAACGGCUUCCUUAAGGAAGAGUUGUAUAUGAUGCAGCCGGAAGGUUUUGUCGAUCCUAAGAAUGCUAACUCAAUCUAUGGGCUGGUGCAAGCAUCUCGGAGUUGGAACAUUCGCUUUGAUGAGAUGAUCAAAGCGUUUGGGUUUACACAGACUUAUGGAGAAGCCUGUGUUUACAAGAAAGUGAGUGGGAGCUCUGUAGCAUUUCUCAUAUUAUAUGUGGAUGACAUACUAUUGAUGGGAAAUGAUAUAGAAUUCUUGGAAAGUAUUAAGGCCUAUUUGAAUAAGUGUUUUUCAAUGAAGGACCUUGGAGAAGCUGCUUAUAUAUUAGGCAUCAAGAUCUAUAGAGAUAGAUCAAGACGCCUCAUUGGUCUUUCACAGAGUACAUACCUUGACAAGAUAUUGAAGAAGUUCAGUAUGGAUCAGUCCAAGAAGGGGUUCUUGCCUGUAUUGCAAGGUGUGCAAUUGAGCACGGCUCAAUGCCCGACCACGGCAGAAGAUAUAGAAGAGAUGAGUGUCAUCCCCUAUGCCUCGGCCAUAGGGUCUAUUAUGUAUGCCAUGCUGUGUACCAGACCUGAUGUAAACCUUGCCGUAAGUUUGGUAGGAAGGUACCAAAGUAAUCCCGGCAAGGAAUACUGGACAGCGGUCAAGAAUAUCCUGAAGUACCUGAAGAGGACUAAGGAUAUGUUUCUCGUUUAUGGAGGUGACGAAGAGCUCGUCGUAAAGGGUUACGUCGACGCUAGCUUCGACACAGAUCUGGAUGACUCAAAGUCUCAAACCGGAUACGUGUAUAUUUUGAAUGGAGGAGCAGUAAGCUGGUGCAGUUGCAAGCAAAGCGUCGUGGCGGGAUCUACAUGUGAAGCGGAGUACAUGGCAGCCUCGGAGGCAGCACAGGAAGCAGUCUGGAUGAAGGAGUUCAUUACCGACCUAGGGGUGAUUCCCAAUGCGUCGGGCCCGAUGACUCUCUUCUGUGACAACACUGGAGCUAUUGCCCUUGCGAAGGAGCCCAGGUUUCACAGGAAGACCAGGCAUAUCAAGCGUCGCUUCAACUCCAUUCGUGAAAGUGUUCAAAAUGGAGACAUAGAUAUUUGUAAAGUACAUACGGACCUGAAUGUAGCAGAUCCGUUGACUAAACCUCUCCCUAGGGCAAAACAUGAUCAAUACCAGGACGCAAUGGGUGUUCGAUUCAUCACAAUGUAACUAGAUUAUUGACUCUAGUGCAAGUGGGAGACUGUUGGAAAUAUGCCCUAGAGGCAAUAAUAAAUGGUUAUUAUUAUAUUUCUUUGUUCAUGAUAAUCGUCUAUUAUUCAUGCUAUAAUUGUAUUGUCCGGAAAUCGUAAUACAUGUGUGAAUACAUAGACCACAACGUGUCCCUAGUAAGCCUCUAGUUGACUAGCUCGUUGAUCAACAGAUAGUCAUGGUUUCCUGACUAUGGACAUUGGAUGUCAUUGAUAACGGGAUCACAUCAUUAGGAGAAUGAUGUGAUGGACAAGACCCAAUCCUAAGCAUAGCAUAAAAGAUCGUGUAGUUUCGUUUGCUAGAGCUUUUCCAAUGUCAAGUAUCUUUCCUUAGACCAUGAGAUCGUGCAACUCCCGGAUACCGUAGGAGUGCUUUGGGUGUGUCAAAUGUCACAACGUAACUGGGUGACUAUAAAGGUGCACUACGGGUAUCUCCGAAAGUGUCUGUUGGGUUGGCACGGAUCGAGACUGGGAUUUGUCACUCCGUGUGACGGAGAGGUAUCUCUGGGCCCACUCGGUAAUGCAUCAUCAUAAUGAGCUCAAUGUGACUAAGGCGUUAGUCACGGGAUCAUGCAUUGCGGUACGAGUAAAGAGACUUGCCGGUAACGAGAUUGAACAAGGUAUUGGGAUACCGACGAUCGAAUCUCGGGCAAGUAACAUACCGAUUGGCAAAGGGAAUUGCAUACGGGAUUGAUUGAAUCCUCGACACCGUGGUUCAUCCGAUGAGAUCAUCGUGGAACAUGUGGGAGCCAACAUGGGUAUCCAGAUCCCGCUGUUGGUUAUUGACCGGAGAGGCGUCUCGGUCAUGUCUGCAUGUCUCCCGAACCCGUAGGGUCUACACACUUAAGGUUCGGUGACGCUAGGGUUGUAGAGAUAUAUGUAUGCGGAAACCCGAAAGUUGUUCGGAGUCCCGGAUGAGAUCCCGGACGUCACGAGAGGUUCCGGAAUGGUCCGGAGGUGAAGAAUUAUAUAUAGGAAGUCAAGUUUCGGCCACCGGGAAAGUUUCGGGGGUUACCGGUAUUGUACUGGGACCACCGGAAGGGUCCCGGGGGUCCACCGGGUGGGGCCACCUGUCCCGGAGGGCCCCGUGAACUGAAAGUGGAAGGGAACCAGCCCUUAGUGGGCUGGGGCGCCCCCCUUGGGCCUCCACCCAUGCGCUAGGGUUGGGAACCCUAGGGGGGAGCUUCCCCCUUGCCUUGGGGGGCAAGGCACCCCUUUCCACUCCUUGGCCGCCGCCCCCCCAACCCUAGAUGGGUUUUGGCCGGCCCCCCUCCCAAGGGGGCCUAUAUAAAGGGGGGAGGGAGGGCAGCAACACACAGCCUUGGGCGCCUCCCUCCUCCCCUGCAACACCUCUCUCUCUCUCUCUCUCUCUCUCUCUCUCUCUCUCUCUCUCUCUCUCUCUCUCUCUCUCGCAGAAGCUCGGCAAAGCCCUGCCGGAGACCCGCUACAUCCACCACCACGCCGUCGUGCUGUUGGAUCUCCAUCAACCUCUCCUUCCCCCUUGCUGGAUCAAGAAGGAGGAGACAUCGCUGCACCGUACGUGUGUUGAACGCGGAGGUGCCGUCCGUUCGACACUCGGUCAUCGGUGAUUUGGAUCACGGCGAGUACGACUCCGUCAUCCACGCUCAUUGGAACGCUUCCGCUCACGAUCUACAAGGGUAUGUAGAUGCACUCCUUUCCCCUCGUUGCUAGUAGACUCCAUAGAUGCAUCUUGGUGAGCGUAGGAAAAUUUUAAAUUAUGCUACGAUUCUCAACAGUGGCAUCAUGAGCCAGGCCUAUGCGUAGUUACUAUGCACGAGUAGAAGACAAAGCAGUUGUGGGCGUUGAGUUUGCCAAUUCUUCUUGCCGCUACUAGUCGUUUCUUGUUUCGGCGGCAUUGUAGGAUGAAGCGGCCCGGACCGACCUUACACGUACGCUUACGUGAGACAGGUUCCACCGACUGACAUGCACUAGUUGCAUAAGGUGGCUAGAGGGUGUCUGUCUCUCCUACUUUAGUCGGAACGGAUUCGAUGAAAAGGGUCCUUAUGAAGGGUAAAUAGAAAUUGGCAAAUCACGUUGUGGUCAUACGUAGGUAAGAAAACGUUCUUGCUAGAAACCUACAAACCACGUAAAAACUUGCAACAACAAUUAGAGGACGUCUAACUUGUUUUUGCAGCAAGUGCUAUGUGAUGUGAUAUGGCCAGAAGAUGUGAUGAAUGAUAUAUGUGAUGUAUGAGAUUGAUCAUAUUCUUGUAAUAGGAAUCACGACUUGCAUGUCGAUGAGUAUGACAACCGGCAGGAGCCAUAGGAGUUGUCUUUAUUAUUUUGCAUGACCUGCGUGUCAUUGAAUAACGCCAUGUAAUUUACUUUACUUUGUUGCUAAACGCGUUAGCCAUACAAGUAGAAGUAAUCGUUGGCGUGACGACUUCAUNNNNNNNNNNNNNNNNNNNNNNNNNNNNNNNNNNNNNNNNNNNNNNNNNNNNNNNNNNNNNNNNNNNNNNNNNNNNNNNNNNNNNNNNNNNNNNNNNNNNNNNNNNNNNNNNNNNNNNNNNNNNNNNNNNNNNNNNNNNNNNNNNNNNNNNNNNNNNNNNNNNNNNNNNNNNNNNNNNNNNNNNNNNNNNNNNNNNNNNNNNNNNNNNNNNNNNNNNNNNNNNNNNNNNNNNNNNNNNNNNNNNNNNNNNNNNNNNNNNNNNNNNNNNNNNNNNNNNNNNNNNNNNNNNNNNNNNNNNNNNNNNNNNNNNNNNNNNNNNNNNNNNNNNNNNNNNNNNNNNNNNNNNNNNNNNNNNNNNNNNNNNNNNNNNNNNNNNNNNNNNNNNNNNNNNNNNNNNNNNNNNNNNNNNNNNNNNNNNNNNNNNNNNNNNNNNNNNNNNNNNNNNNNNNNNNNNNNNNNNNNNNNNNNNNNNNNNNNNNNNNNNNNNNNNNNNNNNNNNNNNNNNNNNNNNNNNNNNNNNNNNNNNNNNNNNNNNNNNNNNNNNNNNNNNNNNNNNNNNNNNNNNNNNNNNNNNNNNNNNNNNNNNNNNNNNNNNNNNNNNNNNNNNNNNNNNNNNNNNNNNNNNNNNNNNNNNNNNNNNNNNNNNNNNNNNNNNNNNNNNNNNNNNNNNNNNNNNNNNNNNNNNNNNNNNNNNNNNNNNNNNNNNNNNNNNNNNNNNNNNNNNNNNNNNNNNNNNNNNNNNNNNNNNNNNNNNNNNNNNNNNNNNNNNNNNNNNNNNNNNNNNNNNNNNNNNNNNNNNNNNNNNNNNNNNNNNNNNNNNNNNNNNNNNGAUGUGAUCGCCGUCGGCACGCUACCUCUGCAUCUACCCACGGGAUUAGUUUUAAACCUCAGUAAUUGUUAUUUAGUGCCAGCUUUGAGCAUGAACAUUGUAUCUGGAUCUCGUUUAAUUCGAGAUGGCUACUCAUUUAAAUCCGAGAAUAAUGGUUGUUCUAUUUAUUUGAGAGAUAUGUUUUAUGGUCAUGCCCCGCUGGUCAAUGGUUUAUUUUUGAUGAAUCUCGAACGUGAUGUUACACAUGUUCAUAGUGUGAAUACCAAAAGAUGUAAAGUUGAUAACAAUAGUCCCACAUACUUGUGGCACUGCCGCCUUGGUCACAUUGGUGUCAAGCGCAUGAAGAAGCUCCAUGCAGAUGGACUUUUGGAGUCUCUUGAUUACGAAUCAUUUGACACGUGCGAACCAUGCCUCAUGGGUAAGAUGACCAAGACUCCGUUCUCCGAAACAAUGGAGCGAGCAACCAACUUAUUGGAAAUCAUACAUACCGAUGUGUGCGGUCCAAUGAGUGUUGAGGCUCGUGGAGGAUAUCGUUAUGUUCUCACUCUCACUGAUGAUUUAAGUAGAUAUGGGUAUGUCUACCUAAUGAAACACAAGUCUGAAACCUUUGAAAAGUUCAAGGAAUUUCAUAGUGAAGUUGAGAAUCAACGUGACAGGAAAAUAAAAUUCUUAUGAUCAGAUCGUGGGAGAGAAUAUUUAAGUCACGAGUUUGGUGCACACUUAAGGAAAUGUGGAAUAUUUUCACAACUCACGCCGCCUGGAACACCUCAGAGAAAUGGUGUGUCCGAACGUCGUAAUCGCACUCUAUUGGAUAUGGUGCGAUCUAUGAUGUCUCUUACCGAUUUACCGCUCUCAUUUUAGGGCUAUGCUUUAGAGACUGCCGCAUUCACUUUAAAUAGGGCUCCGUCGAAAUCCGUUGAGACGACACCGUAUGAAUUAUGGUUUGGGAAGAAACCUAAGCUGUCGUUUCUAAAAGUUUGGGGAUGCGAUGCUUAUGUCAAGAAACUUCAACCUGAAAAGCUCGAACCCAAGUCGUAAAAAUGCGUCUUCAUAGGAUACCCUAAGGAAACUAUUGGGUAUACCUUCUACCUCAGAUCCGAGGGAAAGAUCUUCGUUGCCAAGAACGGGUCCUUUCUAGAGAAGGAGUUUCUCUCGAAAGAAUUGAGUGGGAGGAAAGUGGAACUUGAUGAGGUGAUAGUCACCCCUUCCGAACCGGAAAGUAGCGCAGCGCGGGAAAAUGUUCCUAUGGUGCCUACACCGACUGGGGAGGAAGUUAAUGAUGAUGAUCAUGAAGCUUCAGAUCAAGUUACUGAACUUCGUAGGUCCACAAGGACACGUUCCGCACCAGAGUGGUACGGCAACCCUGUCCUGGAAAUCAUGUUGUUAGACAACGGUGAACCUUCGAACUAUGAAGAAGCGAUGGCGGGCCCGGAUUCCGACAAAUGGCUAGAAGCCAUGAAAUCCGAGAUAGAAUCCAUGUAUGAAACCAAAGUAUGGACUUUGACUGACUUGCCCGAUGAGCGGCGAGCCAUAGAAAACAAAUGGAUCUUUAAGAAGAAGACGGACGCAGAUGGUAAUGUGACCAUCUACAAAGCUCGACUUGUUGCUAAGGGUUAUCGACAAGUUCAAGGGGUUGACUACGAUGAGACUUUCUCACCCGUAGCGAAGCUGAAGUCCGUCCGAAUCAUGUUAGCAAUUGCCGCAUACUAUGAUUAUGAGAUAUGGCAGAUGGACGUCAAAACGGCAUUCCUUAACGGCUUCCUUAAGGAAGAGUUGUAUAUGAUGCAGCCGGAAGGUUUUGUCGAUCCUAAGAAUGCUAACAAAGUAUGCAAGCUCCAGCGCUCAAUCUAUGGGCUGGUGCAAGCAUCUCGGAGUUGGAACAUUCGCUUUGAUGAGAUGAUCAAAGCGUUUGGGUUUACACAGACUUAUGGAGAAGCCUGUGUUUACAAGAAAGUGAGUGGGAGCUCUGUAGCAUUUCUCAUAUUAUAUGUGGAUGACAUAAUAUUGAUGGGAAAUGAUAUAGAAUUCUUGGAAAGUAUAAAGGCCUAUUUGAAUAAGUGUUUUUCAAUGAAGGACCUUGGAGAAGCUGCUUACAUAUUAGGCAUCAAGAUCUAUAGAGAUAGAUCAAGACGCCUCAUUGGUCUUUCACAGAGUACAUACCUUGACAAGAUAUUGAAGAAGUUCAGUAUGGAUCAGUCCAAGAAGGGGUUCUUGCCUGUAUUGCAAGGUGUGCAAUUGAGCACGGCUCAAUGCCCGACCACGGCAGAAGAUAUAGAAGAGAUGAGUGUCAUCCCCUAUGCCUCGGCCAUAGGGUCUAUUAUGUAUGCCAUGCUGUGUACCAGACCUGAUGUAAACCUUGCCGUAAGUUUGGUAGGAAGGUACCAAAGUAAUCCCGGCAAGGAACACUGGACAGCGGUCAAGAAUAUCCUGAAGUACCUGAAGAGGACUAAGGAUAUGUUUCUCGUUUAUGGAGGUGACGAAGAGCUCAUCGUAAAGGGUUACGUCGACGCUAGCUUCGACACAGAUCUGGAUGACUCGAAGUCACAGACCGGAUACGUGUAUAUUUUGAAUGGAGGAGCAGUAAGCUGGUGCAGUUGCAAGCAAAGCGUCGUGGCGGGAUCUACAUGUGAAGCGGAGUACAUGGCAGCCUCGGAGGCAGCACAGGAAGCAGUCUGGAUGAAGGAGUUCAUUACCGACCUAGGGGUGAUUCCCAAUGCGUCGGGCCCGAUGACUCUCUUCUGUGACAACACUGGAGCUAUUGCCCUUGCGAAGGAGCCCAGGUUUCACAGAAAGACCAGGCAUAUCAAGCGUCGCUUCAACUCCAUUCGUGAAAGUGUUCAAAAUGGAGACAUAGAUAUUUGUAAAGUACAUACGGACCUGAAUGUAGCAGAUCCGUUGCCUAAACCUCUCCCUAGGGCAAAACAUGAUCAACACCAGGACGCAAUGGGUGUUCGAUUCAUCACAAUGUAACUAGAUUAUUGACUCUAGUGCAAGUGGGAGACUGUUGGAAAUAUGCCCUAGAGGCAAUAAUAAAUGGUUAUUAUUAUAUUUCUUUGUUCAUGGUAAUUGUCUAUUGUUCAUGCUAUAAUUGUAUUGUCCGGAAAUCGUAAUACAUGUGUGAAUACAUAGACUACAAUGUGUCCCUAGUAAGCCUCUAGUUGACUAGCUCGUUGAUCAACAGAUAGUCAUGGUUUCCUGACUAUGGGCAUUGGAUGUCAUUGAUAACGGGAUCACAUCAUUAGGAGAAUGAUGUGAUGGACAAGACCCAAUCCUAAGCAUAGCAUAAAAGAUCGUGUAGUUUCGUUUGCUAGAGCUUUUCCAAUGUCAAGUAUCUUUUCCUUAGACCAUGAGAUCGUGCAACUCCUGGAUACCGUAGGAGUGCUUUGGGUGUGCCAAACGUCACAACGUAACUGGGUGACUAUAAAGGUGCACUACGGGUAUCUCCGAAAGUGUCUGUUGGGUUGGCACGGAUCGAGACUGGGAUUUGUCACUCUGUGUGACGGAGAGGUAUCUCUGGGCCCACUCGGUAAUGCAUCAUCAUAAUGAGCUCAAUGUGACUAAGGCGUUAGUCACGGGAUCAUGCAUUGCGGUACGAGUAAAGAGACUUACGGUAACGAGAUUGAACAAGGUAUUGGGAUACCGACGAUCGAAUCUCCGGCAAGUAACAUACCGAUUGACAAAGGGAAUUGCAUACGGAUUGAUUGAAUCCUCGACACCGUGGUUCAUCCGAUGAGAUCAUCGUGGAACAUGUGGGAGCCAACAUGGGUAUCCAGAUCCCGCUGUUGGUUAUUGACCGGAGAGGCGUCUCGGUCAUGUCUGCAUGUCUCCCGAACCCGUAGGGUCUACACACUUAAGGUUCGGUAACGCUAGGGUUGUAGAGAUAUAUGUAUGCGGAAACCCGAAAGUUGUUCGGAGUCCCGGAUGAGAUCCCGGACGUCACGAGAGGUUCCGGAAUGGUCCGGAGGUGAAGAAUUAUAUAUAGGAAGUCCAGUUUCGGCCACCGGGAAAGUUUCGGGGGUUACCGGUAUUGUACCGGGACCACCAGAAGGGUCCCAGGGGUCCAUCGGGUGGGGCCACCUAUCCCGGAGGGCCCCAUGGGCUGAAAGUGGAAGGGAACCAGCCCUUAGUGGGCUGGGGCGCCCCCCUUGGGCCUCCCCCCAUGCGCCUAGGGUUGGGAACCCUAAGGGGGGGGAGCUUCCCCCUUGCCUUGGGGGGCAAGGCACCCCUUCCCCCCCUUUGGCCGCCGCCCCCCUUGGAGAUCCCAUCUCCCUGGGCCGGCGCCCCCCCCCCCCCAGGGGGCCUAUAUAAAGGGGGGGAGGGAGGGCAGCAACCUACAGCCUUGGGCGCCUCCCUCCUCCCCUGCAACACCUCUCUCUCUCGCAGAAGCUUGGCGAAGCCCUGCCGGAGACCCGCUACAUCCACCACCACGCCGUCGUGCUGCUGGAUCUCCAUCAACCUCUCCUUCCCCCUUGCUGGAUCAAGAAGGAGGAGACGUCGCUGCACCGUACGUGUGUUGAACGCGGAGGUGCCGUCCGUUCGGCACUCGGUCAUCGGUGAUUUGGAUCACGGCGAGUACGACUCCGUCAUCCACGUUCAUUGGAAGGCUUCCGCUCGCGAUCUACAAGGGUAUGUAGAUGCACUCCUUUCCCCUCGUUGCUAGUAGACUCCAUAGAUGCAUCUUGGUGAGCGUAGGAAAAUUUUAAUUAUGCUACGAUUCCCAACAAGAAGAACGCAGGGUGUGGAGCGGGCGGAAAGUUUAUGGGGAGUGGUGGCAUAGAGGUUGGGAUAGCACAAACAGCCAAACGUGCGAAUGUGGUCGUAGUUGGGAUGAGCACCGUAAAGCAUGAAGUAGGGGGUGUUGUGGUGGAUGGCUCGGGAGGGUCGUAUAUUGAGGAGGUAUGUGGCAGUGUGAAGGGCUUCUACCCAAAAUUUGGGGGGCAUGCUGGCUUGGACAAGGAGUGUGCGAAGUAUGUCGUUUGUGGAGCGGAUGGCGCGCUCAGCUUUCCCGUUUUGUGGUGAUGUGUGCGGGCAGGAGAGGCGUAGGGCAGUGCCAUGUUCACUUAGAGAGGAGCGGAGAGAGAUGUUAAGAAACUCGCCGCCGUUAUCGCACUGGAGGCUCUGGAUGUAGACAUGGAAUUGUGUGAGCACGAAGCCAAAGAAACGUUUGAGAACGUCAGUAGCCUCGGAUUUGGCACGGAGGGGAAAAGUCCAUGCGAAGUGGGAAAAAUCAUCCAUUAUUAUUAAGUAAUAUUUGUAGCCAGAGCAACUAGGGACGGGAGACGUCCAAAGAUCACAGUGUACAAGCUGAAAAGGAAAACUAGUGACAGAGGUAGAAGAAGAAAAAGGCAGGCGCGGCUGCUUCCCUAAUUGGCACGCCUCACAUGAUCCAGAGGCGGCAGGGAGUUUAUUACAAUCUGGAAGAAAAUGUUGUGAUAAACGGGAAAGAGAGGCACUGCCGGGGUGCCCCAAACGGCGAUGCCACAGGUCGCCGGAGUUGGUGUAGAACGCCGAAGAGAUGGAUGCCCCGCUUCUGUAGAGGGGACCGAAACUAGUGCGCCUCAUGAGGGGGGUCCUGGUGGCUAGAUCCUUCACAGAAAAACCGAGGGGGUCAAACUCAACAGAUACAUUAUUAUCAGUGGAUAGUUGACGGACAGAGAGUAGGUUUUGAACAAUAUCGGGUGCCACGAGAACAUUAUGAAGCAGCAAGGGGCGAGAGGAUGUGGGGAUGGAGGCGGUGCCGGUGGCAACUACAGGCAGACGAGUGUCGUCGCCAACGAUGAUGGGAGCAUGCUGUUUUGAGACAGGACGAGAAGUGGCGAGGUUACCUGCAUUACCAGUGACGUGCGAGGAGGCACCGGAAUCAAAGAUCCAGUCACCGUUGCCGUUGCCGGGCUGCUGGAGAGACAGCUGGUUCAUGGCGGAGUAGAGCGCCGCCUGAUCCCAAGAGGGUUGGGGUGGCGCGUUGGGUCCAGCGUACAGCGCGGGGUAGGCAUGCUGGGCAGCACCGGGGCGAGGCCCGAGAACCCCGGCUGCGUUGGGGGGAACCCAGGGAGCGCGCGGCGGCGGGAAGGGCGUCCCCCACGGCGCGAAGUAGCCCAUCCACGGAGUGGAGCCGCCGGGAGAGCAGGCGGACCGCGCCCGCCGUUGUAGCCGCGCCCGCGCCCGCGGCCACGCCCGCGUCCACCGUUGUGCCCGCGGCCGCGGUCACCGGCGCUGCUGUUGCCGCGCUCCAUGGGAGGCUUGCCGCGCUGAGGUGCACGGCCUGGGCAGGUUGGUUGGCGAGGAAGAAUUCGUGAAGUUGGCUCUAGACGCGAUGCGCGGUGUUGCCGGCACCGCGGAUAACCUCGUACAGGCCGUCGGCGAUGGUGGAGUAGAGCAGGAGCAGGAGCGUCAGAUCGGUGUGGUGCCACGCCGGAGUUUGGAGCAGUGGGUCGGAGUAGUGGUCGACAUGGCUCUCGACGGAGUACAUGAGGAGGACGCAGCGCCAGAGUUCACGCCACUUCGAAUAGCUGCCGGUUUGGACAUCCAGCUUGAAGGGGAUGAGGUUGUGGAUGUUGUUGAGGGUGUGGAUGGAGGGGGUGGUGGUGGCAGAGGACGACGCUAUGUCAGGGAGGGUGGGAGGCGACGGCAGGGUCACCAGGCUCAUGGUGCUAGGGGCGGUUGCUGGCGGAGCCGUGAGGACGGGGGUGGAGAGGUCAGAGGAGGGGAGCACAGGAGCGGGAGGGGGAGGGGUGGAGCCCGUCAGGUCGCCGCUCGAAAGGCCGCCGGAGCCGUCGCCAAUGUCCAUGAGAGACAGGGACAGGAAAGAGAGCUCUGAUUACCAAGAUGGAGAAUGAAUACACUGGUGAUUCUCAUUGAUGCCCACGAAGGGGUUAAUAUACAGGUACAGGGGCUGGUAACAACCCAGCUAUACAGGAGGUCAUGCACAUCGUGUAACAGAAAAGGAGGGCACGUCCGGUGCAUGAACUACGUGGGACUCGGUCCUCUAGUUGAGCCAGCAACGGUAGUCUUCCAACAGAUGAGAACACCGAACUGAUUCCUUUAGUUGCUGCCUCUGCAGAUUUGUGUGCCCCCUUUCAGUAGUUCAACCUGGGUAGGAUUUGAACAAAGGUUGAUGUGAAAUAUAGCAAAAAAUGAAACAAGUUAGCAUCAUAUAUAUGGACGAAGGGAGGUAUGGAGUAAUGAAACUGAAACGGAGAGGGCUAAGAAUAGAGAGAUCAACCAGGGGAAUCCGUCGAACAUGUGGUGGCCUGGUGGGCAUCCACACACUACAUGGUGCAUCCUCUACCACCGCACUCCCCUAUGUGCUCACACGCCGCGCUGCCACGGUUGUGUGCAUCAUCAUCGCGUAGAGGAACAACAACACGACCUUUCUGUCUGUGGCUGAAUGAAAGAACGACGGCGACUUCUGUCGCGGAGGAUGGCGCCCCCGGUCCCUGGCGUGCAAAAAGAACAUCGGCGGGGAGUCGGCGGCGCAUAGCCGCACGGAGGGACGGCCACGGGGGUCGCGGAUGAUGGUGCCCCCGGUCCCCGGUGAGCAGAGGAAAAGCGGCGGCGGGUCGGCGGCACAUCGGCCCGUCCCCCCUGUGGCGGAGGUGCUGCUCGGCCGCCGGCGUCAGCCGGGGGCGUGCUGCAGGCUCUGCUCACGGCGGCAUGUCAGCCCCAGAAAAGCGGAGGGUGUCGGGGCCGUGAAGGGGCCGAGCGGCGUCGAGCGCCCGCGAGGGCAGGCGCGGCGGCGGGGUCAGGCGCGGGGCGGCGAGGGCAGUCGCGGGGCGGGGCGGCGAGGGCAGGCGCGGCGGCGUCGGUUGGGCAGAGAACAGGGGCGUGGGGGCAUGGGGCGUGCGGGAAUGCGGGAUUGCAUUUUUUUAAGAGAGUUUCGCUCUGAGGAACAGCAGUGGCAGCUUGUGUGCGUGGGUUGCAGAAUGGAAUGGAGUGUUUCAUAUCGAGAACGCUUGCUGAUACGACAUCAAGUAUUCCCACCGAAUUUCCUCAACAAAAUGCACUACAUGCUAGUCCUAGAUGGUACACUCACAUAAACAAAGCCAAGAUAGUUCUACCCAGCAGCAAAUUACAUCGGCAAACGGUUGCGGGAGCAAGCUUAUCAAAAUGUGACAAUGACCUUGGCCCUGGUAGACGCCCUCGGCAGAGCUAAUAGCUUGGCAAGAACCAUGCUACAUUCCAUUUCACCCUUCCAGUCUAUCUUCAGUUCUUCUAAAGCUGGUGCCCAGCUUAGUAGCUUUGCCACGAAAUCAACUUCGCAGUCCAGACCCCCGAAAUGGUUCACACUAGCCAUUACGAGAUGGUCCAUUUGCAAUUGCAGGUUAAGUCCUUGAAUGCCCACCUGAUCCUCAUCCCGACCAAGGAUGCUCCAAGGAAAACUCUGCAUUUUUUUUCACAACUCGUUAGCCAUAAACACAACGAACAAACAUGGAUCAGGUGAUCGAACAAGGGGGGAGAGUUUACUGGAGGCAUACUUACCCACAUCUCAAGCUUCUUUAAGUUAGGGGCGUUCUGAAACAAUGAACAUGCAGUCAAGACUUGCCUCUGACCCCACAAGCAUAUCAUAAUACGAACACUCUCCAGGUGAGUAGACACGGCAGGGAGCUUCGUAUGUAUGCAUCCUUUUGAUAGAUACUGCAACAAUAAAAUAAUAAUAAUAAUAAUAAUAAUAAUAAUAAUAGAUGGCAACACAGAUUAGUCAGAGGCAGAAGAAGGCCAUAGUAAUGCUGGAGAUAAUAAUAGCUCACCUUUAGGAAAAAACCAUUAAUUGUAAGUGUUUCAAUGACACUUAGGCUACCCAAGGACUGCUUGACAUAGCUUUCCUUGUCAUGCGCAAUUGGAACAGAUUGAUACGCUUUAUCAAGAGAGAGAAAGGCCACCUCCAGAUUAGGUGCGUCCAACUUAAUGUCCUCAAAAUCCCCUUCAACAUAAAGAUAAUCCAGUUUAGGAGCCUUAAUGUUUAGACGGUUGAUGCCCUCAAAAGAAUCUAAUAUCAAAUCAGUCAGUGCGGGGCAGAACGAGAUCAAAUUUUGGAUAUCCUUGUCUGUGGAGGAGAAGAGUUUCAGGGUGAGGUCAGUUAGGCUCUUGAAACCUUGGAAUGCCCGAGGCAAGCUGAUGAUGCAGUUUUCUAGGUGCAGAUACUCCAGAUCACCAAUAGAAAAGAGGCACGAGGGAAUCUUAUACCUUGGCCCCGAGUUCAACUUGAUUAUAACUGAUUUUGGUGAUUUCCUUGACAGCAUGAUCAUCCACCUACCGAACUCAUCAUGGUAAUUUUUGUUACCUGAAAUAUCAAACUCCUCUAUUGUUCCCUUGUGAAGUAAUAGCACCAUAUCGACUAACGUAACGAACUUGGUUCUUGCAAGAUUUCCAUCGCACAGAGAUAUUACUGGCAUGUCAGUCCAUGCAUCCCUCCAAAUACUUGAUAAGGUACUAGUCCUAACCGCUUCUUCGACAUUCAAACGUGAGAGGAUGUCGCCCUUUAUCUCUGGAGGUAGAUUGCUAAGUCUGUCUGUACUCACAACUGAUGCAGCUUCCGCCCUGGCCUUUUUACAGGUACUCAUUGCUUCAGAAUCCAUAUUAAACUGUCCUAGAAUUUCCGGAAGACAGGGAGCCUAAAUUAGCGUGCAGUCUACCACAUGUCACUAAAAAAGUAAAAAUACAAUACACGCAAAAAAUCAAAUUGUGCACUGAGUAGUAGCUUGUUCCUAGCAAAACAACAAAUAACCAACAACCAAGAGAUGGGAAUUUAGGGAGAAGUGCGGACAGUAUGUUUCUAUGCGUUGCUAUGAUUAUCAUUUGACAUGUGUUACAAGACCUAGCUAAUUUGUGAUCUUGAAGAGUAAACAUGUACCAGGCUGCAAGAUGGAAAGGGGCUUCUUUUGUUGAAUACAUGUGCCAUCAUUUGAGGAAGAGGUGAUUAAACUUGUGCCGAUUGGACAAACAAUUUAGGGUAUAUAAUUGAGAUGCCGUCAGCGUGGCCAAAUGAUCAAAUGCAAGUCUAGUUGAGGAUAGAGUCAAUUUACCCCAUACCAUAACCGGCCCUCUUUUCUUAACCUAGAUGUGGACUUGCACCCAAAUUAUUCAGGAGCAACACGUGUUCAGUUCCAACAUUCACUCUAAGCAUGAUCGAGACGUACUAACGUAAAUCCGUGUACUAAAUACUAUAGUGCGUACUACUCCCUCCGUUCCUAAAUAUAAGUCUUUGUAGAGAUUUCAGUAUUAACCACAUACGGAUGAAUCUAGAUGCAUUUUAGAGUAUAGAUUCACUCAUUUUGCUCCGUAUGUGGUCCAUAGUGGAACCUUUCCAAAGACUUAUAUUUAGGAACGGAGGGAGUAGGUUCCGACUGAAAAUUAACCAGUAUUACUAUUUCUUAGCGAAUGAAAGAAGCUAGUCGUCAUUACUCACGGAGGAAGCAUGUUUCGAUACUUGAUGAAUCCACAGCAAACCGGUCUCGAAUUUCAAAUACGCAGUAAGAAUCUAGCGGACAGGGGGCAAAGCGGACCUACGGAGGGCCGGAGAACGGAGAAAGGCGGCGCCGCCCGCCCGCUGCGGCCUUGGACGCUGCCGCCGGGACGGAGCGCGGAGGCCAGAGGGGCACGGAACGAAGGCAGCACGCCGGAUGCCUCCGCCGCCGCGCCGCCGGCCGCCGCGGCCGUGCCGUGUCUAGGGUUCCAAUUUAGCGGAGGAAACGCCGAAGUGGUCUGCGACUCCCUCCGCCACCCGAGCGCACUUUGGGCGGCCCAGAGCGGGCGCCCCUUUUUUCUUUUCAUUUUUCCGUUUUUCUUCUCUCUUUUUGUUUUCGUACGUACAUCAUUAAAAAUCGUUUGGGAUUUACAAAACAAUCGAUCCCAAAUGUUUGGAUGUUUGAAUUACAAAAAACUGUUUUAUGAAUUUGGUAAAAAUCAUUUGAAUUGCAAAAAUGUUCACAAACUCGAUUUUUUUAUAUAUUUUAAAAAACUUCACAAAUUUUAAAAAUAUACCCGGGUUUAACAAAAUUGUACAUGAAUUUGAAAAAAAUCAGGUUUUUACAAAUGUUCAAGAAUUUGAAAAAUGAUCCCGCAUUUCCAUGAAUCUAAAAAAUGUUCUAAGGGUUUUAAAAAUUAUUCACAAAUCUGAAAAUUUUAUUCCUCCAUUUUUUAAAUGUUCACAAAUUUGAAAAUGGUCCUAGAUUUCAAUAAAUGUUAAAAUCAUAAAUGUUUGUGAAUUGGAAAAAUGUUCCUGGAUUUCAAACAAUAUUCGUGAAUUUUAAAAUUGUUCCCGUAUUUAAAACAACAUUUCAAAUUUCAAUAAAUAUUCACAAAUUUUGAAAUUGUUCCCAUAUGGAAAAAAGGAAAACCACAAAUGAAACAAGAAAAAACAAAAUAUAAAAACACAAGAGUAAAAAAUUACCCGAUCUAUAUAGAACCUUGUCAAAACCGGAAGGGAAGUGUCCUUAAACAGUUCUACCGAUGACUAAAAUGGGUCGACCCAGAUAAGAGAGGAUGCGACGCGGGGGUACGCGUUACAUGUCUAUCCACCGAGCUACACACUAAAAUGGUCAUGAUUGUCUCACUUCACCAGGUUUUCGAGCUCCAAUGACGUGCUUGUUUGCUCUUCUGCUUCCCUUGACCUUCCUCUUCACCCUCGCCUUUCGUCUAUGGUGCCUAUAAGCUAGUCUUUGGUUACCCUUAAUUCGCAAUAGCAACCUUCGAGUUUCACAGCUUCAUGAUUGAUGUAAGCUAUACCGAGAAGACCAACACAAUGUUUUUUUCUCUUCUUUUGACUUUUUUCUCAAUACAUCAUGAUAAAUGGCAUUACAAUAAUUUUGGAGUACACAAUAUAUCUAUUUUUACUUUUGUUUUUUUGUCUAUGGAAAUGGAUCCCAAAACCUCCAACCACCUAGAUAGGAGUAUUCGGAGUAGAAUGAAACCAAAUCAUAGCGACUAAAUCAUGGGGUGGGGUCUUUGCCGAAGCCCAUGAGAACAUGAGUGAGCAGCAUGGCUCCCCGGCGGCUCGUCUGCGCCAGCCGUCCCAACAACGGGAAGCUCACCGUCUCCCUGUUCUUGAGAGGCUUCUUGUCCCACCUGCAUAUGCAUUAUAACAAUUAACACACUAACUAGCUAGAUGGUAGCAUCUCGAUGAUUAGGUUUGGUGACAGAAAACAUCGAGCUUGUUGUAGCUUACCAGUCCUGGUGCCUGACGACCUUGCCAUCCUCAACGUCGAGUGUGAUGAGGGACUCUAGGUCAACAUCCUUGCCAAAGACCUUGUAGUGUUGCUUGUUGUCUAUCAGUAUCUGCAGUCAUGCACCACCCAUUGUAUUGAUAUUCCGAUCACGUUUGUAAAGUAUGUUCAUCGUUACUAUACAAAGUAUAUGCGUGGCUACGAUCGAAUGCAGAAGGGUGAUGUCCAAAUGAGUUGAUUACCUGGGAUUUCCCCGGUCCGGUCGCGUUUUCCUUUAUCGUGUACUCUACGAUCUUGGACUCACCGAAUACCUGACGACGCACGAGUCUUUGGAUUAGUUUAUGCAAUAACAUCGAAUGUAUAUCAAAAAGAAAGAAUAAACACCCAUGAAUAAAGCAUAUGAAGGUGCAUAUGUACCUUAGGCAUCGUGUAGAAGGCUGAUUUGAUCUGCUUGACGCUGCGAUCAGAUCGAACAGAAUUCGAUUAAAGAAGGCACAUGGAUGAUGGAUCAUAUGGAGAAGAAAUUCAGGCAACAACAAACUCAAUUGCAUACCCAUGGGCACGCAUAAGCGGGUCCUCGAACGUGGCAUUGGGCGCGUACAUCUCGAAGUCCCGUGCCGUGGCGCAUGAUCCGUAUCUGCGGUGAUUUGCCAUGAGCGCCGCGGUGAAAGACUAUUGAAAAAAUUACAUAACUACGGAAUGAUUCGAAAAAUAGUGGAGCUGGAUAAUUAUGUAGGUAUAUAUAUAUAUACUCCCAAGUUCAUUGGAGAGAUAAAUCAAUUAGCAAUUACUCGUAUUUGACCGUGCAUGGUGAAUUGCUUGCUCAACUUAACUGAACAAUGAGCAAUUAUCAAUUACAGUAGCAAUUUGGCAGUGCAAGCUGAACUUUUGCGUUUCUGACAUUGAAUCGAAGCGUAUAAAUAAAGUUAAGCUGGGACGCAUGGACAACACAAGCAGAGCAAUAGAGCAGAGCAGAGGUUGAUUUGAGCAGUUAGUAGUUACAUGUUGAGGAGAUGCGGCAUGAUGCGCUCGGACACGCCCCCGCCCGCCGCCGCCUGCGUCGACGCCUUCGCUCCCGCGGCCGCCGCCAUGCCUGCCGUCGUCGAGAGCGAUCUCUGCCUCGCGGGCGCGAGGGCAGCAGAAGCAGCGGCUGCGCGGAGGAAGAGGGCAGACGGGGCGGACGGCAGGAGCAGUCGCAGUCGGGAGGCGGAGGUGGCGCAGAGAGCGGGGGAUGGCAUGCGAUGCGAGCAGACGCGCGCGCGGUGGUGAGGAGAGAAGGCGAAACAGGGGAGGGUACCUUGGCUAGCUAGUUGUAGACGAAAGGGAAAGGGUGGAGUUGAAAUGUACUAGUUGCAGUAGCAGAGCCGCGUCCGUUCCUUGGUUGACGGCGUGCGCGGCGGAGGACGGCGCCACGUCGGCCGGCCGAUCUGGUGGCGGGCACCGCCUCCACGACGCCGAGCGGCCACGGCCAACCUCGUGUUCGGGCCUAUCAGCUCGCUGACCGGGGGUUCUCAAGGCCUACUAAUAACAGGUGCAUCCCAUUCAAUUAAGCUGCGCUUUAGCUCGCUAGGCCUGGCAUAAUUUCAUGUUUUUUUGCUUUCUUUUUUUCGUUUGUACUUCCAAAUAUACUAAAUAAAUAUAUUACAAGCAACACUUUCCAUACAAAUAUUUGAAAAUAUAUUAACGUAGCAUUUGAAAAAAUGUUAAAUUUGUAUAAAGAAAAAAUGUUUCCCAUGUAUACACAAAUUUUAGAAUGUGUGUGAAAAAAAGUUGAUUAUAUAAUUAAAAAAUGUUUAUCAAGCCUUUGAAAAAUGUUGAAUAAGUAUAUGAAUUUUCUUAAUCAAGCAUUUGAAAAAGGGUUUAACGUUUAUAGACAAGGUGUUGACCAUGUAUUCAAAAAGUAUUUAACAUGUAUUUAGAAAAUCUUAAGCAAACAUUUAAAAAUGUUAAAUGUGUAUUAAAAAAAUCUUGACCAUGUAAUCAAAAAAGUCAAUGUUGUAUUGAAGUAAAAAAUGUUAAACUUGAAUUUGAAACAUUGUAAUCAAGCAACAAGCGUUAAAUUUAUAUAGGAAAAUUGUAGACCAUGUAUUAAAAAUUAGUUGAUCUUUCAUUUUCAAAAAUGUCCAUCAUGCAUUUGAAAAAAAAUGUGUAUAGAAAAAAUGUUGACUAUGCAUUAAAAUGUUAAUCUUGAAUUAAAUCUUUUUAAUUAAGUAUUUUAAGAUUUUAAAAAUGUGUAUAAAAAUAUUGACCAUGUAUUCUAUAAAUGUUGAACUUGUAUUGAAAAAUAUUAAUCUUUUACUUAAAGCGUGUAUAGAAAAAUGUUGACCAUAUAUUCAUAGACCGAGGAAGAAACAAAGAAAAAGAUACAAUAAUGAUGAAAACCAACAAAGAAAGAAAAUAAAAACGAAGAUAGAAAACCAGAAGUGAAAGAAAAGCAAAAACCCAUCAAAACCAAGAAAGAAACAAAGAAAUACAAGAAAAGGCAGUGAAAUCUGUGAAAAACAAAGAAAACAGGUGGAAAAUAACGUAGGAUUGAAGAAAACCGUUCAAGAAAUAGAGAAAACCGAGAAAAAGGAAACGAAAAGGGAAAAACCCUGGAAGAAACCACCAUGAGCGAUCAUCUCGAUCGGAAAACAACAAACGAAAAAACAGAUGAAAAACGGGACACCCUAGUUCUGUAGCGGGUGUGAAAAUGUGUCAGGCGAGACAGAAGAAACACCCGCUAUAAACAAGAUACAGCCUUUGCGGCGCCUAUACCUCGCUUCAGGUUGGAGCGCUCGCCUCAAGCGCAUACGCGAAUGGUCCGGCCAAGCGCGGGGGGCAUGAAGCUCUCAUUUUUUCGCGUUUUUGGUUUUUGUGUUCUGUUUUCAUUUUUUACUUUUAUUUAUAUUUACAAAUAUAUAUAAAAAAUUAAUGUUAAUCAAGCAUUUAGAAAUGUUAAACAUGUAUAAAAAAUGCUUCUAAUGCAUAAAAAAUGCAGAAUGUUUAUGAGAAAAGUUGACAUCAAUAUAUACGUUUGAAAGUAAUCAUGUAAUGGAAAAAUGUUAACACGUAUGUAAAAAGAUAUUUUUAAUGUAUAAAAAUGUACAAGGUGUGGGGAAACAAGUAGACAUCAAAAAUAAAUAUUUUAAAAAUUGUUAAUCAUACAUUAGAAAAAUGUUAAACAUGUAUAUAAAAAAUGAUGCUGAUGUAUAAGAAAAAUGUAAAAUGUGAUUCAAAAUAUUUGUUUGAGAAAAAAUGGUAAUCAUGUAUUGAGUAAUGUUAAAACGUAUAUCAAUUUAUUUUAUAUGUGUACAAAAAAUGUAUAAUGUGUGUGAAAAAACAAAUCGGCAACAAAAGAUAUAUUUCAAAAAAUCUUGAUAAUAUAUUUGAAGAAUGUUAAAGGUGUAUACCAAAAAAUUUGACUUGUGUAUUUGAAAUAAUGAUGACCAUGUAUUCAAGAAAGUGUUCAAAAAACAUGUAUCAAAAGAAAACACUAUCUGAAAAAAUGUUCGACGUGUAAAAAAAAUACAUUGUGUAUGAAGAUAAAAAAAUGUAUAUUGUGUACCAAAGGAAAUUACACAUGUGUAUGAAAAGAACAACGAUAGAAAUAGACAAAGAAACAUAAAGAAAAGCAAACAAAACGUAAAGAAAAAAGGAAGAAAGAUCAUAAGACUACACAUGUCGUAGAUUUCCUAAACAAUAUGUGUUACCUAUGUAGGUCUUGAGAUCAUGUUGCAUGGGCCCUUAAAUUGGACAACACGUAUAGAGUUCACCAUAGUAUAACAACUUACUAUACAGAUCAUAAGACUACAAACACAAAUGACGACAUAUAGACUAGGCACAAAUGAAUCUUACCACUCACCUACAUCUCCCACGCCGAGGGGAACUACUCACGCAUCAUAAGAAAAUAACCAAUCAUCUCAGGGGAUAAAACCAACAGAAAUCAUAUCAAUAACACCCGGAAGAUCCACAAUGAAAUGAAUGAUCCAAAUAGUCUUGAUCUCCAGAUGAGUGUGAAUAAAUUUUACAACUUGUUCUUACAAAUUGGAAUUCCUCUUACAAUAGUGAAGGAUGAAAUGAUGAUGGACAUGAAAGGACCAAAACUAAGAUCUCCGAUGGUUCUCCGGACUUCUUCUCUCUCUGUUCUGGUUGUGGUGGCGGCGGCUAAGGUUCUCCACUAUGUCUUUCCCCUUCAUGAGAGUGUCUCGUAUAGAUGUUGUGGAGCUCCUGGUGCCUCAUACGACCAUCCAUGUGAGUGGGUGUGCUCGCAUGGAAGGUUGUCUUUUGCUCUGCCGCACCUGGUGGCUUGGCCUCUAACACGGAAGUUGCUCCAUUUCAAUUAAAGGUCUAGUGGCUUGAUCAUUCUCCUUGGUUUCGUUCCAUAUAUUAUAUUUUCUGCCAAACAACGGAAAAACGGAGUUUCUUCUCAUUUGAAGGGUUAACGUUAGAAAUAACCGAGAAGAGGUAUGAAUCCGGUGAAAACCAAGUAAAAAUCACUUGCAAAUAAUCACAAAUUCUCGAUCCAUCAACUCCCUCAAGGUUAAAACUAGCUCGCCCUCGAACAACUAAGAAAUCAAGAGAAUGAAGUCGAUAUUCUUAUAAGAACAAAUGUGAACAUGAGUUUUGGAAGAGAAGAAAACAUGAUACUCAAACAUUUAUUCCUCCAAAUAAUUAUAUCAAUCGGUAGCAUCAAGACAAUCAAAUUUAAUACUAUGUAGUUGAAGAGCUUGGGUGAUGGUUCUCUUCGAAAAUCCGAGGCAGUAAGUAUUUCAAAUUUUGAUUUUUGGAGGAAAAUCAUGCUUCACAACAAGUUUCACUUGCAUAUGUGAUGAGAGGUACGAACAAAUUUAAUGCAAACUUAUUUUUUCGCUCUUCCAGUCCUAAUUUUUUGAAAAAUUCCGCGGAAACCGUAUCAUAUAAUGUACUAACUUGUUUUUUUUCUUCUAUCUUAGUGCCCACUAAUUAUGAUUCAUGUAGUUUUUCUCUUCAGAUCGAUUCAAAUGGGGUCGGCCAAACAUGCUUGAGUCGUAGAGCGAAUUAAAAUAAAUAAAAAAGUUAUACCAAACAUUUGUACUUAUUUAAGUGUAUUUUUAUUGUACUAGAACAAUGCCCGUGCGUUGUAAUGGGAUAUAAAUAUUCUAAUACGUUGGCUUGUGGUUUAUCUAUCAAUAAUAAUGCUAAAUGUUCAUCAAAUUGACUAUGAAUUACCUUAUAUUUUGAUUAAUAGUUUGGUAAGAAAAUUAACGUGAAAUUGGUUCAAAAGGUAAGUAAAUUAAGGUGAUUGAUUAUCAUAUACAUGGAAGGUUGGACGAAGGGAUGGUGGAAAGAAAGGUGAAAUGGGAACCUUACAUUCUUUUUAAAUAUUAGAGAGUAGAGAUUACAGUGUUGGCGAGUAUAAUUUCUAUCACGUAGUUCACAUAGUUAAGCAUAUAAUAGUAUUUUUGUGUGUGCAACCACGUAACAAUGUUGUUAAAUAUUAAUUGUAGUGUUCUCUGUUAUUAGUUCGAAUGUAUUUUACUUAAAGCUUCAUUUCAGCUAAAUUUAAAUUGUGUGAUUCAAUAAAAUUAACCUUCCAAUUACUUUUGACAAAUACAUACUUCAUAUGAUGCAUAUGUAUAUUUUUUAUGCGUAUGUCUUCAUGUAUAUUAUAUCAGUAACUAUCUUGGUUGCGAUCUCUAAAGUGUAAUAUCUUUUACUAAUGGUUUCUAAUGUAUUGUUAGGUAAACAAAUGUAUAGAAUAUUCUAGAGUAUAAAUUGAAUUGUUUGUAAAUGUGAUACAAGUUAUGUUCAGCAAUAAGUUCACAAUAUGUGCAUGCUAUUUACAUGACAUUGAAAUACUAUCGAUUACCGGCGAGCAUAACAUGUUCCCGGUUCAAUUUUGCAUACAUUUUUAUUUUAUUUUUUAGUCUUAUCUAGAAGCCUGAUUUCUUCUUAUGUAUGUAGGCCCUCCUGCUAAUUUUCAAAAAAUAAAAGGUUUUGCACAAAAUUAAACACAGUAAGCUAGUUAAUAUAAAUUUUAGUACAACUGGCCGCACGUCUAUAUAUGUGAGAGACAAUGGUAAGCUCACUAAAUUUAUUGUCUCCUACAAGAUAUGGUUGUUCCUAUAUGGUAACAUCAUUGGUUCGUUGUGUGGACUUGCUCCUACAAAUUUUGGACUUUAAUUUUUUAAGUUUAUACUACAGUAAUCUUUUAGAUUUAACGAUAGUAGUAUACGGCCCUACUCCCCUGAGGCUCGGAGUGGUCGCCCUUUUUGCCCGGCCUAGGAUCCAGAUCUUAAACAAGAAUCAAGUUACAUGGAAGUGCAAAGCCAAGUCCACACACCUUCUCCAUUCUCACUAGUAUAAUUAUCAUGAGGCACCAAACAAGGGGUUGGGAUUAAAAGUCUAUUUUCCACAUCUAAAUCCCCUAGCAAACUCUCACCAUCAAGUCCCAUUCUGUUACAAGCAGUAUAAAAUUUGUCAUUAAUUUAAUUCCUCUCAUUAGUACGUACAGGAGCAGAAUAAACAUGCACAUGCAUUUCUUCAAAAGCAUGCAGACUAGUUCCAAUAAGGAACACAUCAAUAGCAGAAAACCAUUUAUAAUUAGAAUGCAAAGAACAACAUUACAUGAAGCGCUAGAACUGUCUACCAGGCUAGUGUCGACAGAGCAGUAAUACACGUACAUUAACAAAGUGCUACAGAAGCUACCGCACACAACAGACGUGGCUAAACACACUAGUGGCAGGAAAAACAGAACGUACUAUAAAACACUAGAAGGACCUUGUAUGAAAACGGCUAGAGCAUAUACAGAUUAAUCUAGUAUGAGCAAAGACCAGAUGCAACUUACAGACUAGACGUCGUUGCACUGGUGUUCGUCGAUGGAGUUUGCCGGAGACGAUGUUGUCGUGGACGUCGCCGAAGCAGCGGUCAUCGAGGACGUUGACGAAGGAGCGGUCGCGUGGACGCUGCCCAGAAAACUCUAGACCGCCCCCGUGCAGGGUAGAAGGAUGCGGUCGGAGUCACGGAGACACCACUCGCGGGGUUGUCAUUGCACGGUGGACAUCACAACCGGCUUCGUUCAGAAGGUUGCUCAGCACAAUGUCUAGUCGUUGCUUGAAGGAAUGCAUUACUACAAAUUCAAUGCUCUCAAGAUGUUGAAUGCAUUACGAAGAAAUGGACUGAGUACACAUUCAGUGCUCUCAAAAUGGAGAUUUUAUACAAGCAUUGCUACAACAUGUACAACCAGCCGCUCGAGGAUGACCCGUGAGCGCUACUCAUUUCUUUCUUUAUGUGCACAGCCCGCACGCUAAAUGUCCUACCUAACCCCUACUAUGGUUUUGUGUUUGCUCAGUACUCAGCUCGCAAAGGCGUGUCAGACCACAAAUUUCUUGCAUGAGGUCCUAAAGAGCAAAUACUUUCCACAAGAGACAUAAAUUAAGUUGGUCGUGACAACGUCAUUUCGAAAAGAAUCUGUUCCACAUGAAACAGAAACCGAUCAAGAGGUAAGUUCUAAAAGUGGUUGGUUAUCUAGACAGUACUAAGCCAAAUCUAUUUAGCAGUGGUAGUUUCUAAAUAAUAGUAAACCAAAUCUACUCAUCAACACUAGAUUUUGGCCAAUCUAUAUCUAUACCUACUAAUAAAGCAAGGUGCAUUUCUCCAAUUUUCCAUUCGUUCACCACCGAAAAUAUUCUUUUAAUAUCUGAGGUGGUACUAAAUUUUUGUGGUCCAUCUACUAGGAAAAAAAGAGUUCUGUCCAGAAUUUUGCACGUGGGCCCACCCGCGCUAAGGCCCAGAGAAUCCACCCAUUUAUAUCCUGCCCACGCAGCAGGGAAACCAUAUUUCUCGCACAGGGCGGCACAUAGUUUGAACUUCGCAUUGGUCGCCUAAUGUUGGGCCGACCCAUUUUCUAUUUUUCUGUGUUCUUUUCCUACUUUCUUUUUUCUUUUUCCCUUCCAAGUUAUUUUUUCGUUUUCCCUAUAAAUUUGUUAUUUUUAUUUUUAUUUCAUAAUUUCGUUUUUUUAAACAUUUUCGUUAAAUCUUCAGAAUUUCAAAUUUUGUUCUGAUUUUCAUAAAUAUUUGAAACUUUAAUCUUUUUUCUCGUUCCAAAUUGGUUCAAAAUUCAAAAAAUGUUCAUAUUUCUUAAUAAAAACCAAAAUUGUUUGAUAAUUUUAAAAUAAAUUGUAUUUUUUAAAAUAAUAGAAAUUCAAAAAAUAUUCCUUUUUAUUGAAAUGUUAACAAAUUCAAAAUAAUGUUCAUGAUUAAAGCGUGUUUCUGAAAAUGGUUUUGAAUGUUCAAAACAAGUUUCCAUUUUCAAAAUUGUUCACAAAUUCAAAAAAUGUCCGUUUCUCGGCCUUAAAAAUGGUUCCUGUUUUCAAAAAAUGUUUGUGAAAUUAAAAAAGAUCUUCCUAUUUCAAAUUUUGUUUGCCUUUUUCCAGAAAUUAGCAAUUUUUUUCAACAAAAUGCUCGUUUUUUAUAAUAAAAUCAGAAGGCCACCACAACCUCGACAAGGAGGUGGACCUGAAGGGAAAAAAGGCACGAGUUGGGUAGUGGCCGCCACUCCGACCAUCCCCACUACUAUAAAGAUCUCACAGGCCAAACAUUACCCGUGAAAACACUACAGCUCUACGCUUUGUUGCCCCACUGUUGUGGAAACCGUUUUGAUGGACACAUCAAUUAUCUCUCCCGAUGCUUCUCACAAAAAAAUCUCUCCCGUUGCAACGCAUGGGCAUAUGUGCUAGUAUAAAUAAAUUCAUGUGGGUUGGGGGGAGGGGGCAAUGCCCCCCCCCCCCGCCCUCAACAUAGCUCCGCCACUAGGGAGGCGUCGAUUAGGAGGUAUCUAGUUUACCAUACCCUCCUGAGAUUCCAAGAUGAUGCUUUUCGUUAUUAUGUAGAUCAAAGCCACUUUGCUUGCUAUUCGUAACACAAGACGCCUGCCAUGGCCCACGGACCAUGAAAUAAAAGCCAAUGCAGAUAUUCUUCACUGGCUCCAAGCAACGGUUGGGUUUCAGCUAACCUUUUGCUUUCAUUACUAGUAAACAUGCAUGUGCGUUGCAACGAGACAAACAAACUCUCGCACCUAGUGAGUUUGCGAAUAUUCAAAGUCGUGGACGAGCUCGCCUGGUCUUGGUAUCGUGAGGCGUCGACUCGUUUCGGGAUACCGGACGCCAUGGUAUUCUAGGUCGUGUACAGGGGCUUAUGUAAUGCAUAUAUUGGACCAAAGAGACGACGUUGUACAGUGGAUGGCAAGGAACGUUGCAGAGCUAGUGACGGUGUUUUGGUUCUGUGUACAAUAUAUUUUGGAGGGUUUGGCUGGUAUGGUCGUUGGGGCUGAUCACAUAUAGGUCUGCGAAACAAAAGCAUAUACUUUUUAUUAGACUAGAACAAUGUCUGUGCGUUGCAACGGAAUAUAAAAAUUCUAGUUAUGUUAACCUGUGAUUUACCUGUCCAUGAUAUACGAUUGUGUAAAUAAAUGUUCAUCAAAUCCCGCAUGUGAUUUACCUUAUAUUUGGUCAGAAGUGAUUUACAUGCCUAUAGUAUGCGAUUCCGUAAAUAAAUGUUCAUCAAAUUCUGCCAGUGAUUUACCUUAUAUUUUGAUCAGAAGUUUGGUAAGUAAAUUAAAAUGGAAUUGGUUCAGAAGGUAAGUAAAUUAAUACGAUUGAUUAUUAUACGGGGAAGGUUGGACGAAGGAGUGGUGAGAAAAAGGUGAAACGAGAACCUUACGUCCUUUCAAGUAGUAGAGAUUUAGCUUAUAUUUUGAUCAAAAGUUUGGUAAGUAAAUUAAAAUAAAAUUGGUUCAGAAGGUAAGUAAAUUAAUAUGAUUGAUUAUUAUACAGGGAAGGUUGGAUGAAGGAGUGUGAGUAGAAAGGUGAAACGGGAACCUUACGUUAUUUUUAAGUAAGUAGAGAUUUAGCUUAUAUUUUGAUCAAAAAUUUGGUAAGUAAAUUAAAAUAAAAUUGGUCCAGAAGGUAAGUAAAUUAAUAUGAUUAAUUACGGGGAAGGUUGGACGAAGGAGUGGUGAGAAGGAAGGUGAAAGGGUAACUUUACAUUCUUUUUAAGUAGUAGAGAUAGAGAAGUAGAGAUUUAGCUUGUAUUUUGAUCAGAAGUUUGGUAAGUAAAUUAAAAUAAAAUUGGUUCAGAAGGUAAGUAAAUUAAUAUGAUUGAUUAUUAUACGGGGAAGGUUGGACGAAGGAGUGGUGAAAAGAAAGGUGAAACGGGAACCCUAUAUUCUUUUUAAGUAGUAGAGGUAGAGAUAGAGAUACUAUAGUAAUCUUUUAUAUUUAACGAUAGUAGUGUACGGCCCUACCCCCUUGAGGCUCGGGGUGGUUGCCCUUUUUGCCCGGCCUUAGGAUCCAGAUCUUAAACAAGAAUCUAUUUACAUGAAAGUGCAAAGUCAAGUCGGCACACCUUCUCCAUUCUCACUAGUAUAAUUAUCAUGAGGCACCAAACAAGGGGUUGGGAUUAAAAGUCUAUUUUCCACGUCUAAAUCCCCUAGCAAACUCCCACCAUCUAGUCCCAUUCUGUUACAAACAGUAUAAAAUUUGCCAUUAAUUUAAUUCCUCUCAUUAGUACGUACAGGAGCAAAAUAAACAUGCACAUGCAUUUCUUCAGAAGCAUGGAGACUAGUUCCAAUAAGGAACACAUCAAUAGCAGCAAACCAUGUAUAAUUAGCUUGCAAAGAACAACAUUACAUGAAGCGCUAGAGCUGUCUACCAGGCUAGUGUCGACAGAGCAUAGGGCGCUGAACACACACUAGUGGCAGGAACAACAGAACAGACUCUAAAACACUAGAAGGACCUUGUAUGGAAACUGCUAGAGCAUACACAGAUUAAUCUAGUAUGAGCAAAGACCAUAUGCAACUUACAGACUAGACGUCGUUGCACAGGUGUUCGUCGAUGGAGUUUACCGGAGACGAUGUCAUCAAGGACGUCGACGAAGGAGCGGUCGUCGAGGACGGUGACGAAGGAGCGGUCACAUGGACGUUGCCUAGAAAACUUUAGACCGCCCCAUGCAGGGUUGAAGGAUGCGGCGGAAGUCACAGAGACACCGCUCACCGGAUUGCUGUUGCACGCUGGACAUCACGAUCGGCUUCGUUCAGAAGGCUGCUCAGCACUAGUGGUGCACGAGAAAGAAGAUGAAGAUAUGAUGUGUUUAUCUCCCGAUUCUCUCUGCACUUUUAGCAUAAUUGGUUUGAUGCCAAAAGUUGGCAUGCCAAAUUUUAGCAGAUGCCAAAUAUUGGCUAGAGAUUGGUUGCUUGCCAAUUUUCAUUGUCAAUCUCACAAAAAAUUGCCAAAUGUUGGCAACUUCUAAUUUUACCAAAUGUUGGCUUGCCAAAUAUUGGCAAUGCCAAAUGUUAGUAGCAAACCAAUUAUGUACAGAUUAUGCGAGCAACGUUUUAAUGAAACGUCUUGCCGAGCGAAGAGCGUUGCACUCACACGUCCUGGUUGAGGACCCAGGGAGGAGUUGCAGCUUGACGAACGGCCAGCAACGUGCGUGCAUGGAGUUUCAGUUUGUUACGUGACAGGAUAUGCUCAAGCAUUUUGCCGCAAAAAAAAAAAAAGGAUAUGCUCAAGCAUCAGACUGGGAAUUAUCUGAACUGAUGCAUGUGUCCAUGCAAUAUUUCCAACUCAUUUCUGUUCCCUAAGAGUAUGAAACACGCAGUGAAGAAUGCAGUGCAUAGAUUUGAGUUUUCCUUUUUUUUUAAUAGGAGUACUUCUUAAGCAUGAAAUAUGUUCUACUCCCUCAGUUUGGAAUUUUCUUGUUAGGAAUAUAAUAGUAUUAGUAUUUGGCUAAUUAGGCGAUUAGCAGAUUCUUUAGAAUAUUCUAACCGGUAGUUAGAAUCCUGGCGUUGUCCAGACGCAGUAGAUAGCGAACCAUCGCCAUGUUUUUUUCAAACCAGCGUUGUGUCUUUCCGAAACGACGCGAACCUUGUAAUCGGCAUGUAAACACGACGGCUCGGGACAUAUAAGUACCUGCAGUCACUAUCAAUGAAAUCAAUCCUUUCACUUCAAUCUUUCUUGUUUCUCUUCAUUUCUCAUCUAUUUCCGUGACAAGUAAUUGAGGGAGUCGGUGGCUUUGCUGCAAAACUGAAGACUGGCACAAGAUCCGUGUACACGGCGUAGCACAUUCCGGGACGAUACCGCAUAUGUGCGAAUGUGCGAUUACUUAUCAAUCCCGACCCCAUUUGCCUCGUCUCCUUUCUUCUUCUUAUUAAAAGCCAUUUUGGUUACGGAUGGAUAUGAGAAGAAAAAUUUAGAGCCUUGCGUGCCCACACCGCCCUUGACCACACCCCACCACCAACCGCCCUCCCCUUGGCGAUCCCCACACACUUGCCCAACCAACCACACUUGUCCCACGCCUCUCCUCCUCCUCUCCUCUCGCCUUGUACGAGUCUCACCUUGCUGCGUCCAUCCACCCACCGACCAUCCACCACUUCCCCCAAAGUCUCCUCCUUUCUCCCUUCUCAGCCAAGCAACCAAGCGAUCUCGCCGAUGAAGAGGGAGGGGUUCCAGCACGGCGCCGUCCGGGUCAACCGCAACAAGCUGCUGCGGGUCGCCGGCGGCACCAACGGCGACGCGGCGGCCGCGGCGCUGGAGCUCGCCGGCGUCGCCUACGCCAGGGCGCCGUCCAAGCCGACCAACGCGUCCAGGGACACGGGCCGGUGCCGGCGGCCCCGGUGCGCCGGCUGCCACGUGCACCCCGCCGCCAAGGCCCGGGACAAGGCCAAGGGCGCCCACAAGCUGCGCGCCUCCGACGUCGCGCUCAACCACCGCCUCGUCUCCUGGCGCCUCGUCGACGGGGACCCCGCCGCCGCCGCCGCCCGCACCGGCGGCGUGCCCGACUACAAGGGCGCCUCCGCGUCCGCCGUGCUCGCCUACCUCGCCGGCGGCAACAGCUGGCACGCCGAGGACGAGGAGGAGGACGAUGACGGCGCAGAUCUUCAGGCCCCCCCAAGGGGGAUCUCCGACCUGUACGACCUCAUCGUCGGCCUCCAGGCCCGCGCGGCCCCUGCGCCGGGCGGCCCAGAAGACGAC
Molecule: long non-coding RNA, 41630 nt
Filed under: Triticum aestivum (bread wheat)
Lineage: Eukaryota; Viridiplantae; Streptophyta; Magnoliopsida; Poales; Poaceae
Description: long non-coding RNA (TAES_LNC000931)
Source: RNAcentral